GAUGAAGAACGUAGCGAAAUGCGAUAAGUAGUGUGAAUUGCAGAAUUCAGUGAAUCAUCGAAUCUUUGAACGCACAUUGCGCCCCUUGGUAUUCCAUGGGGCAUGCCUGUUCGAGCGUCAUUUGUACCUUCAAGCUCUGCUUGGUGUUGGGUGUUUGUCCUUGCUCUAGUGGCGGGACUCGCCUUAAAGUAAUUGGCAGCCAGUGUUUUGAUUUUGAAGCGCAGCACAAGUCGCGAUUCAAGUCUAUACGCUAGUUUCCACAAGUCUUUUAUCACUUUUGACCUCGGAUCAGGUAGGGAUACCCGCUGAACUUAAGCAUAUCAAUAAGCGGAGGA
RNAcentral lists this unclassified non-coding RNA (335 nucleotides) under soil metagenome. Its description in RNAcentral is "partial contains 5.8S ribosomal RNA, internal transcribed spacer 2, and large subunit ribosomal RNA". The stretch from base 1 to 120 matches the Rfam family "5.8S ribosomal RNA", at positions 35 to 154 of the family's 154-position model. The record is from RNAcentral.